GGAGUAGUGCGACAGUGGUUACUCGGUUCGAUUAGAAUUUCGUCAAUUCCUUCAUCGAAUGCCGUCAGGCGCGCAGGUUCGAGUCCUGCCUGCUCCU
This is a non-coding RNA of Cryptococcus sp. DSM 104548, 97 nucleotides long. The record is from the annotation of a GenBank genome assembly.